This is a long non-coding RNA of Bos taurus (domestic cattle), 1065 nucleotides long. NCBI's taxonomy places the organism in Eukaryota, Metazoa, Chordata, Mammalia, Artiodactyla, Bovidae. The record is from Ensembl.
GGGGGCUUUAAAGUCUUCAGAGAGGCCUGGCCAGUGUCCUGGGGGCCAGUGUUUUGGGCAGAGCGAGCUGAGUCCUUGGGAGCUUGGGACUGGCUAGUGGAGCUGGGGGCUCCUCCUACAACGUGUUGACGUGGCAGAUGGACGGAGUCUGUCUCCUGCCAGAAUGUGAGCUCUCCCCUGCUGUGUCCAGAACACAUCCUCAGCAUCAGUAAAUACUGUUGAGUACACGUGUGAAUGAGUAGGAGCUCUCACCCAGCUACCCAGCCUCCCGGGAUGUGCAGUGAGGACGGAGCUACUGAGCAAAGUCUCCAGGUGCUCUGGAUGGACCCUGUGAGCAGACCCGAGUAGAAGCACCUGGCCCAGGCACUCACCAGAUUCUGGUUCAACAGAACCAGGGGCCACAAGGCAUGUGGGAUCUGAGCUUCCUGACCAGGGAUUGAACCCACACCCUCUGCAUUGGAAGGCGAAGUCCCAACCACUGGACCACCAGGGAAGUCCCUGUUUUGAAAUUUAAAAACACAAGGUCUAGGGCGAGUGUCCCCAGCCUCCGUGCCAAGGACCGUACUGCCCGUCAGAUCAGCAGCGGCAUUAGGUUAGAAAUAAAGUGAACACUUGAAUCAUCCUGAAACCAUCCCUCCAAAUCCCAUUUUUCUGUGGAAAAAUGGUCUUCCAUGAAAUUGGUCUCUGGUGCCAAAAAGGUUGUUGUUCAGUCACUGAGUCACGUCCAACUCUUUUGCAACCCCAUAGACUGCAGCACGCCAGGCUUCUCUGUCCUUCACUGACUCCUGACUGCUCAAACUCGUGUCCAUUGAGGCGGUGAUGCCAUCCAACCAUCUCAUCCUCUGUCAUCCCUUUAUCCAGCCCUCAGUCUAUCCCAGCCUCAGAGUCUUUUCUAAUGAGUUGACCAAAAAGGUUGGGGGCCACUGAUGUAGGGGAUAGACUGGGCUUGGAUCCUGACUCCCUUCCAACAGGAGUAUGACCUCAGGCUGGUUACUUGACCUCUCUGUAAUGGUUCAUUGGUUGUAGCUGUGUAACAGAUUACCUCAAAACUUAGCAGCUGAAAAG